This 925-nucleotide long non-coding RNA is filed under the name Pan troglodytes (chimpanzee). Its description in RNAcentral is "lincRNA". The record is from RNAcentral. Lineage: Eukaryota; Metazoa; Chordata; Mammalia; Primates; Hominidae.
GUCUCCUCUUUCGCCUCCUGCACCUUGGGAGCCCCGGGCUACUCUCUCACAGCCCUUGUUGCCCUGCGAUCUGUAGGUCCUUGGGGACGCAUAGUUAAGGUGCCAGGACAUCCUGGAAGCUGGGAAAUGGUAUGUAUUCAUUUCCUACCACCGUAGUGGAAGAGAGACUAUCCCUAUCUAUACACCUGGUAACAUUUCCAACAGUAAGCUGUGAGAUUCUGCUUGAAAUCACCUCUCAAACAAAUAAAAAACAGUCCUGGGAAAUGUACUACACUCAUUCUGCUAAAGAAAUAGUGCAAGAACUUUUUCUAAGACCCCGAACUCCAGAUAUGCGAUGGGGCAAAUCCUGAAGUGUACAUGGAUAUCUCUCACAGCUAAAGCAUCCCUCAACCCUAUCCAGGGCUUCUUACCCCUGGCGCAAGAGAAUCACCGGCGGGGAGGAAAACUUUCAAAAUCCCUUAAACCCAAGUUGUAACCGAUCAAUUAAAUCAGAAUCCUUGGAGCUGGAUCUGAAAAAAAUAUGGUUUAAAGUUGUGCAGGUGAUUACAAUGUGUAGGCAAGCCACAAAACCAUGGCUUUAACCAGCAGCUUUUGUUAGAAAUGAUUUCUCAAAUGAAUGUGAAAACUUUUGCUGCUGAAUUGUGACCUUUCAAUUUUACCUGCUUUUCCUGCAAAGUAUAUUUUGCAGACCCAGGCAGUGCUGCUCUCUCUGUUCCUGAUUCAUCCAGUGCCAUGUGUGCUCAGUGCAUCCUGUGCAGGGAUCACUGUGUGCCCUGGCCUGGGUGAGCAUCAUUCUUCGGUGAGAACCUUUCCGAAAACAAAGCUGCAUUCCAAAAAGUUAAAACCAUUCUACUUACUGUGUUGAAGUAAAAGCAGCGGGGCUCACCCAAAAGUUAAAACAUAAAUAAAUAACUUGGAACAUUAA